RNAcentral lists this ribosomal RNA (254 nucleotides) under uncultured bacterium. RNAcentral's name for it is "partial 16S ribosomal RNA". It matches the Rfam family "Bacterial small subunit ribosomal RNA", at positions 524 to 776 of the family's 1533-position model. The record is from RNAcentral.
UACGAAAGGGGCUAGCGUUGCUCGGAAUCACUGGGCGUAAAGCGCACGUAGGCGGGUUGCCAAGUCGGGGGUGAAAUCCUGGAGCUCAACUCCAGAACUGCCUUCGAUACUGGCGAUCUUGGAGCCCGGGAGAGGUGAGUGGAACUGCGAGUGUAGAGGUGAAAUUCGUAGAUAUUCGCAAGAACACCAGUGGCGAAGGCGGCUCACUGGCCCGGUACUGACGCUGAGGUGCGAAAGCGUGGGGAGCAAACAGG